Lagopus muta (rock ptarmigan) is the source of this 690-nucleotide long non-coding RNA. RefSeq lists it as uncharacterized. The transcript has 3 exons. The record is from RefSeq and is a predicted model, not a curated record. Lineage: Eukaryota; Metazoa; Chordata; Aves; Galliformes; Phasianidae.
GAUCUCUUCUGGAGAUUGCCUUUAUUGGUGUUUUGUAGUGAGCCUAGCCUAAGGGACUCCAUCCCAUCUGACUUCUUAUCCUAAAAGAGUGAAAUAGAGUCUUCUGUCAAGAAAGUUGGAGCAGCUCUUGGACAUCAUCCAAAUAAGGAGGAAAAAUAUAAAUCAGGUCCCCAAAGAGUUUAGAGAUGAAAAUUUCUGAAGUUGCCUGCGAAAGAUGUCAUCUCAGUGAAGGGUGGUCUAUCUGCACAUUGAUCCAAGGCUGUACGCUGAGGGACACUUAAGGUCAAUUAAUACAAUGAACUGAGUAGAAGAAUAAAGAUACAAGAUGGAGUAUCUUUAUGUCUGACUAUCAAAAAUCUUUCAAGAUUUGUGAAAAUGUAAAUGUUAGAAGAAAUCAGCUUCUCCUAUAAAGCUUAUUACUUCAAAGACAGAAGAUGUGUCUGUUCCAAAGAGUUUAAAACCCAUAUUACAUACUUAGCCACCAGACCUUUGAGAAUGGGACAUAUUCCUCGCAGAAACCAAGUCAAGAUUCACAGGAUCACCCAGGAGUGGAACUGGGUAGUUUAAUGUUUAAGGUUUUUUUCAGGUAGGCAGAGUCUCAGGUACUGGUGCUUUCCCCCCAGUAUUAUGUGCUCUGUGCAAAGAUUGCUUUAAGAAAAAAUAUAUCAUUUUUUUCAGUUACCAUUCAGA